RNAcentral lists this long non-coding RNA (575 nucleotides) under Zostera marina. RNAcentral's name for it is "long non-coding RNA (ZMAR_LNC002305)". The record is from RNAcentral. Lineage: Eukaryota; Viridiplantae; Streptophyta; Magnoliopsida; Alismatales; Zosteraceae.
AUCAUUAACCCGACACUAUACUUCUUAUGAUACAUCCACCAACUAAAGCAGAAGAUAUUUGGUUGAUGAAAAUGAUUGAAAAAGCUCGUCUCAUUUGUUUGUUCCAUUUGCAGGGCUUGCAGUCGCAUGAUAUUCGGAUUUGAAGCUAAUUCUAAGCUAGAAGCCAUUCUUGGAAUUAAUUGAGUCCAAGAAUUUUGAAGCACUAAUGAUACAAUUCUUUAGAAUUAGUCGAGAUCAUAUUCACUUCAUCUGAGAUGAAGUGAAUCUCUGGUUUGAUGAUCGACAGACCAUGCAUACCGAGAGAUGCAUGGACGUGGCAAGAAUAUACCUCUGAUAUCAAGUCGCAGUCCAGAACAGGGGACAGCUGUGACACUGCCUAUUUGGAUGCUUGAUGCGGCAGAGCUGAAUAGGUUGCGGUGGCGGUCGGCGGAAUGUAGGCGAUCUUAUAUCAGGGUGAUUUGACGAUUAAGUGGAGGAAUUUGUUUAGGUUUAAAAGCGCUAAAUUUUAUUAAUUAACAGUUUUUGCUUAAAAUUAGCUAAUUACAUCAACCGUAAACGGUUAUUUUGGUUCAUGG